GAAGGGAUCCACAUAUGCAUACAAUUGAUACAGAUAUACCAUCGUCUUUAUAUACGUGUCGCGUUAUUCUUGCUGCUGCCGCGCGCGGUAUACCGAGCCGGCAUAACACGAACGGCCCGAGCGGAGAGCGCCUCAUAGUCUACAAUACGAUAACGCCGCUCUCAUAGAUUCGAUGUAGCCAGCCGAACGAACCAGACUACCGGAUACCUGCGCGACCGUCCUCCGCCGCCUUAUUGCGCUGACUAUUCGCGACAGGACAGGUUCGCGUACAUCUGUUCUUGUCAUAAGGAGUGAUUUAGGGCUGGUUGCGGGCAUUGAUCUACCCGCCGCGGAGGAUAUCGACCAUAGAACCGCGGAUCUCCCUUCAAAAAAUCCAAGAUCGAACGUGUUUCAUUGAGCAACAACGUUUCAAUGCCGUUUUUCAGGGUAAUGUUGUAUGAUUUGAGGUUAAGUUAAUGGAAUAAGGAGAUAGCAGAGGAUUUCGGUAAAGUUUGAAGAUGAAGUCGACACAUAGAUUGCUUUGUUCUGUUUUCAAUUCUAUGGCGUCUGCGAUAUCGAUAUCGAUUAUAUCGAUUUAAUUUGAGUAACAGAGUUUUUAGUAUUGUUUAGUGAAUUAUCUUUAAUUGUACGUGUUUUCCGUGAAUAGUGUAAUAUUUUGAAGUGUUCACAACUUAACCUGGAUCUAACCUAAAAUUCGCCUCAUGUUUAUGCUAUCUCUGACUGAUUCUUUGAUUAUAUCCAUUGUUACACCCGAGUCAGAAGAGAGGUAGGCCUGGCCACGUUGGUACCGCCUACUAGAGUGAUCCCGACAAGGAAGGACUUGACCAACCUCGUCCUGCCCCUCCAGCACGAUCCUCUACUCCUGGACUCAACCUGACGGGAUCACGUUCUGUGCCGUCGUUCCGAUUAAUUCUUUUGCUGUAAAGGGUGCACUCUUUGGCCGAUUCACCUGUCGCAAAGCGUAUUGGAGAUCGUUGAUGCCGUGGAAAGAGAAAUGGCGGCGGUUCAGGUUUAUGCAACCCAGAUAUAUUUAUCAUUCUUCCAGAGGAGUAAUUGCAAGAACAUCGAUGACAGAAAAUCUUCAUUCAUCGGUCCUCGUCCACUGAACCAGAUGAAUCGAACCUACGUUACAACUUAUUAAGUCGAUAUUCCACGAAAACGACACUUUUGAAAAUUUCCUUGCCUCGUUGCCCAAUCUUCAAAUUCCCCGAAACGAAUUAGGUGUAUGUUUUUUAAUCAACGCUCCUAAGCACGCGUGCUUCAUCGUGACGAUCGUAGCGAGGAUAGGACAGGAUAGCACAGCGACAAUUAACCACGUUCGUCCAGUAGCUGGUGUAUAUACAUAUAUAUCGGGUUUCGUGAUAUUUCUUAAUUAAAUAUAGCCUCAAGUUAAAAAUGAAAUUAAAUAGAAGCCAGUAUUUUUCGCCGCCGCCUACCGGCGCCGCGUCCACCGCAUGGCCAACCCUUUCAACCAGUUUCUCGGUCGUCGACAAUGGCGAGAGUAAGGUUGCACGGCCGUCGUACGCCCAUUUCGACUCUCUCUGCAACCCCUUCUCGCUUUCCACGGGCCACCCACCAUACAUAUUUCACGUCGAAAUAAUUAAACGCCGCUGGACCGCGAGUCGACU
RNA transcript from Bombus impatiens (common eastern bumble bee), 1628 nucleotides. RefSeq lists it as uncharacterized. The transcript has 4 exons. The record is from RefSeq and is a predicted model, not a curated record. NCBI's taxonomy places the organism in Eukaryota, Metazoa, Arthropoda, Insecta, Hymenoptera, Apidae.